RNAcentral lists this long non-coding RNA (211 nucleotides) under Elaeis guineensis (African oil palm). RNAcentral describes it as "long non-coding RNA (EGUI_LNC007949)". Lineage: Eukaryota; Viridiplantae; Streptophyta; Magnoliopsida; Arecales; Arecaceae. The record is from RNAcentral.
UCAGUAGAGAUGAGACUUUUGCAUCACAUGGUGACCAAACUUUUUGUCCCUAGAAGUGGCAGAUAUGACCUCUUAUCUGGUAGGGAUAUAUGUAUCAUGUACCAUGUGAUCAUCAAGAUCCCCUUGAACCUUUCUACUCUGAUGAUUGAGGCUAUGAGGGAGAUCCUAAAUAGGUCUAAGACUCACCUGCCUUAUAGUAUGGCACUCACCC